This 459-nucleotide ribosomal RNA is filed under the name uncultured bacterium. Its description in RNAcentral is "bacterial SSU rRNA". It matches the Rfam family "Bacterial small subunit ribosomal RNA", at positions 28 to 526 of the family's 1533-position model. The record is from RNAcentral.
GAUGAACGCUGGCGGCGUGCCUAAUACAUGCAAGUCGAGCGGUAAGGCCCCUUCGGGGGUACACGAGCGGCGGACGGCUGAGUAACACGUAGGAACGUACCCCAAAGUGAGGGAUAAGCACCGGAAACGGUGUCUAAUACCGCAUGUGGUCUUCGGACUAAAGCUCCGGCGCUUUGGGAACGGCCUGCGCAUGAUUAGCUUGUUGGUGAGGUAAUAGCUCACCAAGGCGAUGAUCAUAGCUGGUCUGAGAGGAUGAUCAGCCAGACUGGGACUGAGAACGGCCCAGACUCCUACGGGAGGCAGCAGUAGGGAAUCUUGCACAAUGGGGGAAACCCUGAUGCAGCGACGCCGCGUGGAGGAUGAAGGAUCUAGGUCUGUAAACCCCUUUUNAGGGAAAGACUUAGGACGGUACCCUGAGAAUAAGACCGGCUAACUACGUGCCAGCCGCCGCCGUAACAU